CUGAAAUUGCCACUGAAAAUAGAAAGCUUUGUUUAAAAGGUUGAUUCUGGCAUUUGUGUAAGAAAAAACUCCUACCUCCUGAAUUAGGGAGUUGAAGAUAUAUCCCUGGGGCUGGAAUUGUGGCUCAGUGGUAGAGCGCUCGCCUAGGAUGAGCGGGACCCAGUUUGAUUCUCAGCACCACAUAAAAAUAAAGGCAUUGUGUUGUGUCCAUCUACAAAAAAGAUUCAUAUUUUCUCUCUCUCUCUCUCUCUCUCUCUCUCUCUCUCAAAAAAAAAAAAAAGAAAAAAUAUAUCCCUGAUAAUAAUGAUAAUGGUGAAUCUUAUUCACAGUUAAACUAAUUCAGUUUUAGAUAUCUUAGCAUUUUAAAGAGUUAUGAUUAGCCAGAGGAGUUUAGUCAUAUCACUUGGAAACAAGCUUCUAUGAAAUAGUCUCGAAUUAGCAAAUUAAAAAAAGAAAAAAACAACGCAAGCAAGUAGUAUUGAAGCUUUGGGCACUUAAUGAUUGAGUUCUUAAAGCUACCAUGAUGUUUAGUAAGUGUAUAUAACUGUUUUCACUCUGCCAGAUUUCUGUUAUCUGCAUCUAUUAAUAGAGGUUUUGACAUAUAUCAGUGAUAGGUAGUUGGGGAAAAACAUAGGAUUUGAAAUUGUAUGAGGUAGGUG
RNAcentral lists this long non-coding RNA (659 nucleotides) under Marmota monax (woodchuck). Lineage: Eukaryota; Metazoa; Chordata; Mammalia; Rodentia; Sciuridae. The record is from RNAcentral.